GCACAAGCGGUGGAGCAUGUGGUUUAAUUCGAAGCAACGCGAAGAACCUUACCAGGUCUUGACAUCCCGCUGACCGGUAUAGAGAUAUACCUUUCCCUUCGGGGACAGCGGUGACAGGUGGUGCAUGGUUGUCGUCAGCUCGUGUCGUGAGAUGUUGGGUUAAGUCCCGCAACGAGCGCAACCCUUGAUCUUAGUUGCCAGCAUUUAGUUGGGCACUCUAAGGUGACUGCCGGUGACAAACCGGAGGAAGGUGGGGAUGACGUCAAAUCAUCAUGCCCCUUAUGACCUGGGCUACACACGUGCUACAAUGGAUGGUACAAAGGGCUGCAAGACCGCGAGGUUCAGCCAAUCCCAUAAAACCAUUCUCAGUUCGGAUUGCAGGCUGCAACUCGCCUGCAUGAAGCUGGAAUCGCUAGUAAUCGCGGAUCAGCAUGCCGCGGUGAUACGUUCCCGGGC
Molecule: ribosomal RNA, 456 nt
Filed under: uncultured bacterium
Lineage: Bacteria
Description: bacterial SSU rRNA
Rfam family: Bacterial small subunit ribosomal RNA
Source: RNAcentral